UGCAAGUCGAGCGGACCGACGGGAGCUUGCUCCCUUAGGUCAGCGGCGGACGGGUGAGUAACACGUGGGUAACCUGCCUGUAAGACUGGGAUAACUCCGGGAAACCGGGGCUAAUACCGGAUGCUUGAUUGAACCGCAUGGUUUAAUUAUAAAAGGUGGCUUUUAGCUACCACUUACAGAUGGACCCGCGGCGCAUUAGCUAGUUGGUGAGGUAACGGCUCACCAAGGCAACGAUGCGUAGCCGACCUGAGAGGGUGAUCGGCCACACUGGGACUGAGACACGGCCCAGACUCCUACGGGAGGCAGCAGUAGGGAAUCUUCCGCAAUGGACGAAAGUCCGACGGAGCAACGCCGCGUGAGUGAUGAAGGUUUUCGGAUCGUAAAACUCUGUUGUUAGGGAAGAACAAGUACCGUUCGAAUAGGGCGGUACCUUGACGGUACCUAACCAGAAAGCCACGGCUAACUACGUGCCAGCAGCCGCGGUAAUACGUAGGUGGCAAGCGUUGUCCGGAAUUAUUGGGCGUAAAGCGCGCGCAGGCGGUUUCUUAAGUCUGGUGUGAAAGCCCCCGGCUCAACCGGGGAGGGUCAUUGGAAACUGGGGAACUUGAGUGCAGAAGAGGAGAGUGGAAUUCCACGUGUAGCGGUGAAAUGCGUAGAGAUGUGGAGGAACACCAGUGGCGAAGGCGACUCUCUGGUCUGUAACUGACGCUGAGGCGCG
Molecule: ribosomal RNA, 718 nt
Filed under: uncultured Bacillus sp.
Lineage: Bacteria; Bacillati; Bacillota; Bacilli; Caryophanales; Bacillaceae
Description: bacterial SSU rRNA
Rfam family: Bacterial small subunit ribosomal RNA
Source: RNAcentral